RNAcentral lists this transfer RNA (73 nucleotides) under Dipodomys ordii (Ord's kangaroo rat). It matches the Rfam family "tRNA". Rfam says of the family: Transfer RNA (tRNA) molecules are approximately 80 nucleotides in length. Their secondary structure includes four short double-helical elements and three loops (D, anti-codon, and T loops). Lineage: Eukaryota; Metazoa; Chordata; Mammalia; Rodentia; Heteromyidae. The record is from Rfam by way of RNAcentral.
AGGGAUAUGGCUUAAGCAUUAGAGCACAUGACUGGCAAGUGUGAGGCCUUGAGUUCAAACCCCAGUAUCACCA